This 194-nucleotide unclassified non-coding RNA is filed under the name plant metagenome. RNAcentral's name for it is "partial contains small subunit ribosomal RNA, internal transcribed spacer 1, and 5.8S ribosomal RNA". The record is from RNAcentral.
UUUCCGUAGGUGAACCUGCGGAAGGAUCAUUACAGAGUUCAUGCCCGAAAGGGUAGACCUCCCACCCUUGUGUGUUAUUACUUUGUUGCUUUGGCGAGCGCAAGCUUGACAGAGAAUACCAAAACUCUUUUUAUUAAUGUCGUCUGAGUACUAUAUAAUAGUUAAAACUUUCAACAACGGAUCUCUUGGUUCUG